GUUAAUGUAGCUUAAUCCAAAGAAAGCACCUGAAAAUGCUUAGAUGGUUUUUUUUCCCCAUAAU
RNAcentral lists this transfer RNA (64 nucleotides) under Mus terricolor (Earth-colored mouse). Its description in RNAcentral is "partial tRNA-Phe". The record is from RNAcentral. Lineage: Eukaryota; Metazoa; Chordata; Mammalia; Rodentia; Muridae.